AUAUGUAGGUGGCAAGCGUUGUCCGGAAUUAUUGGGCGUAAAGCGCAUGUAGGCGGUAAUUUAAGUCUGUCGUGAAACUGCGGGGCUCAGCCCCGUAUAGCGAUGGAAACUGGGUUACUUGAGUGCAGGAGAGGAAAGGGGAACUCCCAGUGUAGCGGGGAAAUGCGUAGAUAUUGGGAAGAACACCGGUGGCGAAGGCGCCUUUCUGGACUGUGUCUGACGCUGAGAUGCGAAAGCCAGGGUAGCGAACGGGAUUAGAUACCCCGGUAGUCCUGGCCGUAAACGAUGGGUACUAGGUGUGGGAGGUAUCGACCCCUUCCGUGCCGGAGUCAACGCAAUAAGUACCCCGCCUGGGGAGUACGGCCGCAAGGCUUAAACUUAAAGGAAUUGACGGGG
Molecule: ribosomal RNA, 396 nt
Filed under: uncultured bacterium
Lineage: Bacteria
Description: partial 16S ribosomal RNA
Rfam family: Bacterial small subunit ribosomal RNA
Source: RNAcentral